Molecule: ribosomal RNA, 450 nt
Filed under: uncultured bacterium
Lineage: Bacteria
Description: bacterial SSU rRNA
Rfam family: Bacterial small subunit ribosomal RNA
Source: RNAcentral
AACGAACGCUGGCGGCAUGCCUAACACAUGCAAGUCGAACGAGACCUUCGGGUCUAGUGGCGCACGGGUGCGUAACGCGUGGGAAUCUGCCCUUGGGUUCGGAAUAACAGUUAGAAAUGACUGCUAAUACCGGAUAAUGUCUUCGGACCAAAGAUUUAUCGCCCAGGGAUGAGCCCGCGUAGGAUUAGCUAGUUGGUGAGGUAAAGGCUCACCAAGGCGACGAUCCUUAGCUGGUCUGAGAGGAUGAUCAGCCACACUGGGACUGAGACACGGCCCAGACUCCUACGGGAGGCAGCAGUGGGGAAUAUUGGACAAUGGGCAAAAGCCUGAUCCAGCAAUGCCGCGUGAGUGAUGAAGGCCUUAGGGUUGUAAAGCUCUUUUACCCGGGAAGAUAAUGACUGUACCGGGAGAAUAAGCCCCGGCUAACUCCGUGCCAGCAGCCGCGGUAAU